Helianthus annuus (common sunflower) is the source of this 129-nucleotide non-coding RNA. The record is from Rfam. Lineage: Eukaryota; Viridiplantae; Streptophyta; Magnoliopsida; Asterales; Asteraceae.
GGUGGAAGCUUCCAAAGGGAUCGCAUUGAUCCAUAUUAUUAGAUAUUUGAUGAUCAACUCUUUUAUUUAUCAUCAUGGAAUGGAAGCACUUGAUAAUUUGGAUCGUGCUAUCUCUUCGGAAGUUUCCUC